AUUGAACGCUGGCGGCAUGCUUUACACAUGCAAGUCGAACGGUAACAGGCCGCAAGGUGCUGACGAGUGGCGAACGGGUGAGUAAUGCAUCGGAACGUGCCCAGUCGUGGGGGAUAACUACUCGAAAGAGUAGCUAAUACCGCAUCCGAUCUAUGGAUGAAAGCGGGGGACCGUAAGGCCUCGCGCGAUUGGAGCGGCCGAUGUCAGAUUAGGUAGUUGGUGGGGUAAAGGCUCACCAAGCCAACGAUCUGUAGCUGGUCUGAGAGGACAACCAGCCACACUGGGACUGAGACACGGCCCAGACUCCUACGGGAGGCAGCAGUGGGGAAUUUUGGACAAUGGGCGCAAGCCUGAUCCAGCAAUGCCGCGUGCAGGAAGAAGGCCUUCGGGUUGUAAACUGCUUUUGUACGGAACGAAACGGCUCUGGUUAAUACCCGGGGCUAAUGACGGUACCGUAAGAAUAAGCACCGGCUAACUACGUG
This 482-nucleotide ribosomal RNA is filed under the name uncultured bacterium. RNAcentral describes it as "partial 16S ribosomal RNA". It matches the Rfam family "Bacterial small subunit ribosomal RNA", at positions 30 to 507 of the family's 1533-position model. The record is from RNAcentral.